Molecule: transfer RNA, 73 nt
Filed under: Bacilli bacterium
Lineage: Bacteria; Bacillati; Bacillota; Bacilli
Description: tRNA-Thr
Rfam family: tRNA
About the family: Transfer RNA (tRNA) molecules are approximately 80 nucleotides in length. Their secondary structure includes four short double-helical elements and three loops (D, anti-codon, and T loops).
Source: RNAcentral
GCCUCCUUAGCUCAAUUGGUAGAGCGCGUGAUUUGUAAUCUCGAGGUUGUUGGUUCGAUCCCGACAGGAGGCU